RNAcentral lists this ribosomal RNA (253 nucleotides) under uncultured bacterium. RNAcentral describes it as "partial 16S ribosomal RNA". It matches the Rfam family "Bacterial small subunit ribosomal RNA", at positions 524 to 776 of the family's 1533-position model. The record is from RNAcentral.
UACGAAGGGGGCGAGCGUUGUUCGGAAUUACUGGGCGUAAAGGGCGCGCAGGCGGCUCUGAAAGUCAGAUGUGAAAGCCCCGGGCUUAACCUGGGAAUUGCAUUUGAUACUCUGGAGCUUGAGUGUGGGAGAGGAGAGUGGAAUUCCCAGUGUAGAGGUGAAAUUCGUAGAUAUCGGGAGGAACACCGGUGGCGAAGGCGGUUCUCUGGGCCUUACCUGACGCUGAGGAGCGAAAGCGUGGGGAGCGAACAGG